This 404-nucleotide ribosomal RNA is filed under the name Gallotia atlantica mahoratae. RNAcentral's name for it is "partial 16S ribosomal RNA". It matches the Rfam family "Bacterial large subunit ribosomal RNA", at positions 1972 to 2575 of the family's 2925-position model. The record is from RNAcentral. Lineage: Eukaryota; Metazoa; Chordata; Lepidosauria; Squamata; Lacertidae.
UCCCUAAAUAGGGACUAGUAUGAACGGCUAAAUGAGGACUUUACUGUCUCUUGCCGCCAGUCAAUGAAACUGAUCUUCCAGUUCAAAAGCUGGAAUAACACCAUAAGACAAAAAGACCCUGUGGAGCUUUUAAACCAAAACCACCAAAAAUUGUCCACUUGGUUUUUAGUUGGGGCGACUUCGGGGUAAAACCAAACCCCCGAAACAAUGGAACCUACCAUAUUAAGGCCAACACGCCAAAAUAAUUUAAAACUUGACCCAGAUCUUUUAAUAUCUGACCAAUGAACCAAGUUACCCCAGGGAUAACAGCGCCAUCUUCUUUUAGAGUCCAUAUCGACAAGAAGGUUUACGACCUCGAUGUUGGAUCAGGACACCCCAAUAGUGCAGCCGCUAUUAACGGUUCG